GGCGCGGUAGCAAAGUGGCCAUGCAACGGAUUGCAAAUCCGUCUACACCGGUUCAACUCCGGUCCGCGCCUCCA
Molecule: transfer RNA, 74 nt
Filed under: Variovorax sp. KBW07
Lineage: Bacteria; Pseudomonadati; Pseudomonadota; Betaproteobacteria; Burkholderiales; Comamonadaceae
Description: tRNA-Cys
Rfam family: tRNA
About the family: Transfer RNA (tRNA) molecules are approximately 80 nucleotides in length. Their secondary structure includes four short double-helical elements and three loops (D, anti-codon, and T loops).
Source: RNAcentral